UACGUAGGUGGCGAGCGUUGUCCGGAUUUACUGGGCGUAAAGAGCGCGCAGGCGGUCGUUCAAGUCGCGUGUGAAAGCCCCCGGCUCAACUGGGGAGGGUCACGCGAUACUGAUCGACUCGAAGGCAGGAGAGGGUAGUGGAAUUCCCGGUGUAGCAGUGAAAUGCGUAGAGAUCGGGAGGAACAUCCGUGGCGAAGGCGACUACCUGGACCAGCACUGACACUGAGGCACGAAAGCGUGGGGAGCAAACAGG
Molecule: ribosomal RNA, 253 nt
Filed under: uncultured bacterium
Lineage: Bacteria
Description: partial 16S ribosomal RNA
Rfam family: Bacterial small subunit ribosomal RNA
Source: RNAcentral